AUUGAACGCUGGCGGCAGGCCUAACACAUGCAAGUCGAGCGGAUGAAGGGAGCUUGCUCCUGGAUUCAGCGGCGGACGGGUGAGUAAUGCCUAGGAAUCUGCCUGGUAGUGGGGGAUAACGUCCGGAAACGGGCGCUAAUACCGCAUACGUCCUGAGGGAGAAAGUGGGGGAUCUUCGGACCUCACGCUAUCAGAUGAGCCUAGGUCGGAUUAGCUAGUUGGUGGGGUAAAGGCCUACCAAGGCGACGAUCCGUAACUGGUCUGAGAGGAUGAUCAGUCACACUGGAACUGAGACGCGGUCCAGACUCCUACGGGAGGCAGCAGUGGGGAAUAUUGGACAAUGGGCGAAAGCCUGAUCCAGCCAUGCCGCGUGUGUGAAGAAGGUCUUCGGAUUGUAAAGCACUUUAAGUUGGGAGGAAGGGCAGUAAGUUAAUACCUUGCUGUUUUGACGUUACCAACAGAAUAAGCCCCGGCUAACUUCGUG
RNAcentral lists this ribosomal RNA (484 nucleotides) under uncultured bacterium. RNAcentral's name for it is "partial 16S ribosomal RNA". It matches the Rfam family "Bacterial small subunit ribosomal RNA", at positions 30 to 507 of the family's 1533-position model. The record is from RNAcentral.